UAACACCUACAGCUUCAGCAAGGUUGUGAAUGUGCAUAGUAGAGAUUAUCAUAAACAUCACUACUCCUGCCACGUGAGUCAUUCCAGCCUGCCAAGAAAACUCAUUGUGCCCUUGAAUAAAAAAGGAAAAAAAUGAAGCAACAUGAAGAGAUCAGUCCUAUUUUAAUCAAACCUUUGAACUACACAAUGGAUCAACGAGGUUCAAGGCCAGAAAAGAAACAGUCGGGGAAACAAAUUAUGGGUGCUGUUGGGUGGUGUUAUGAGCAAAGAUGUCUGUCCAUCUGAUCUUCUGUAUGACGAGUCUUCAAAAAUAUUUUUCCUUCACUCUAAGUACAGUGUUGAUAUUUCUUUAAUAGGCAAUAGGUCACCAAUCACACACUUAUUGCAAAUUGCAAAGUCACUUUAGAUGUGAACAUUUUUAAAAGUGUUUUGGGCUAAUCAAGGACUCCUUCUUUUGAAGAGAUUUUUAUAAUUUGGUUAGCUCAGUUACAGUCUAAUCUAAUUUUAAGUGCAUCUCAGUAAAUAUUAACAAUGAUUAUAUUAAAAAUCAAAAUGUUAUUAAAGGGAGCUUAAAAGUAAAGAACACUUUCGAAACAACUUGUAGAGUAUAGAGAGAGCAAAGGAAAACUGUCUACUGAUUCAAUUUCUUGAAAUAUCAAUCUUCUUAAAUCAUUUAAUAAAUCUGUUUGCAUUCA
Molecule: long non-coding RNA, 695 nt
Organism: Polypterus senegalus (gray bichir)
Lineage: Eukaryota; Metazoa; Chordata; Cladistia; Polypteriformes; Polypteridae
Exons: 2
Source: RefSeq, a predicted model, not a curated record